UGAGUUAUCAUGCCAAUGCUGUCGCGGAUAGAUCCCCAGUACCCGUAAGGAAGGAAGAAAACGGACUCCUUCUAGGAUUCCUAUGUAAUCCUACUAAGACUCAUACCAUGUAAUUUUACUAGGAUUCCUCCUUGUAACCGACUAGUAAUCCCACCCUUAGAGUAUAUAAAGGAGGGCAGAGGUCCAUAGAUCGGUAGGCCAAGAUCUCAUAGAACCACAACAGAGGAUAAAAUCCUCAACACCAAACAACACCCAAGCGCAGAGCGCAAUAUACAACACCUCAAACAGGACGUAGAGUAUUAUGCUACUCUGACGACCCGAACCUGUAUAAAUCUGUGUCUUAUGUCCUCGCUUUUACCUUCGAGUUCCAGGUCCGAUGAUCCCCCACCAACCAAUCUACUACCUCGGAAUACCCCUCGGUAGGUUGCUGAGUAUAAAACACCGACAUCUGGCGUGCCCGGUAGGGAUUGGGCGAGCUUGAAGGACCUCAUCAUCAAGAUCAAUCUACC
RNAcentral lists this long non-coding RNA (509 nucleotides) under Setaria viridis. RNAcentral's name for it is "long non-coding RNA (SVIR_LNC008114)". The record is from RNAcentral. Lineage: Eukaryota; Viridiplantae; Streptophyta; Magnoliopsida; Poales; Poaceae.